Molecule: long non-coding RNA, 2502 nt
Organism: Caretta caretta (loggerhead turtle)
Lineage: Eukaryota; Metazoa; Chordata; Testudines; Cheloniidae
Source: RefSeq, a predicted model, not a curated record
UUCCUCUGCGGUAUUCACAACCAAAACACUGAAUGUUGUGCUAAAUGCAUAAAAACAUGGAAGUGCUGUUGACUAGAAAAUAGAAUAAACAAAAGUGAGAGCGAUCCCUCUUUUUUCAGUGUCCAAACUGACAAAAUAGGGAAGAAGUAAACUAAAUGUUUAAAACUAUUUGUUUUAAUGACUGUAAGUAGCAAGAGCAGAGUGCAGCUUGAUAACCAUUAUGCUCAGAGCUCAUUGGAAAACAGAUUUUCCACCCCACAAAAAAAUUCAAAAAAACUCAAACCCAUCACGAAUCAGGACAAAAAGGCGAAGUUUCAAAAAAAUUUCACAUAAUUAAAAGGCCAACAUUUUAAUGUCAGUCUAAACAUUUCGUUCUGACAAAUCUGAAAUGUUGUUUCAGCUUCAACCCUUUGUAAUUUUUACAUAAAGUAAAUUUCUAAACAAAGUGUCAUUUCAAAACAAAAACAUCAAAACUGGUUUUUGUUCCAAAAACAUCGAAAUGGGACAUUUCUACAUCUUAAAAGUCGUAUUCAAAAUGUUUUUUUAAAAAAAAUAUGUAGAAAUCAAUACAAUUUUGGGGGGGAAAAAUCCCGUUUCAUUUUUGACUCGCCCUUUUUGACUUUGCCCGUUUUAACACGAAACGGACACUGACACUCACACCCCCGUAAGACAGAGUUACUGGUAACAGCUUUGAAGAGUCAUGUUUUUAUUUUAAUGGUAUUACAGUAUUUUUUACCUCCUAAACCCCCCCCCCCCCCCCCAAUAACCACCCACAGGGCACUUCGAGACGCGCCGCAGGCUGAAGUCAGAGCGCGCGUGUGCCCAGAUUCCCAGCCGAGCGCAGCAGCAGGUCCCAGCCCCGGCCCGCUCCCCUCGCGGCGCGGGGAGGCGAGCUCGCCCCGGGUCGGAGCGCUGGGCCGGCAGCUCUCUCCCGCGGGGGCGAGGCAGGACACCCCCGCUCAGCGCGCCGGGGCUAAGGGCUCGCCGUCCUCGUGCCAGCAGGGGCAGGAGCCUCGCGGCGGGAAUCGACCUCCCGCUAAAGCGACCCCAGAGGCUGCAGAUAGACAGUCAAGAGCAAUGAGUACAGAGUAAAUUCUCAUACGUCACGAGAGAUGAGGCAGAUAACAUCAGACAGAUAACAUCAGAUAAUUCCAGAACAGAAGAAAUGUGCACGAAAGUGAAGGCGCAUGCAGUUCACUAGGAAAUAUGACCAUGCAAAUGUCAGUGGAAUAAAAGCUAACGAAAGAAAGCAGAAAACAUGAGCAACUACAACGGAAGACUUUGGGGACAGGAAACAAAGGAGGGAAAACUGUGUGGAUUAUGUAGUAAAACACACCAGCCUCCCUGGAAAAGAUGCUACAUGUCAGAAAAAGGGACUUUAAGCAGGGAGUGGUGAUAACACGAGAUAGAUCCAGAGAAAGAGGAUAUAGCCACAGCAGAGACUUUAACAGAGCUGUCUGUGAAAGCACAUAGGAUUCUGAUGAACCAGAGCAGAAGAAAAAAAAUUCACUGACGAAAUGGAAUUAUAAACAUGGUGUAUGUGCAGUGGAAACCUGGACCAGAGCAUAAUGUCUGGUGAAGAUAUGGAAAGAGCUCCAAGUAGCUCCCCUACAUCUCUCUAGUAGGGGAAGGUCUCUCAGAGACAUAGCAGGGGCUGCUUGCCCUCUGAUGGAAUGAGCCCUUACCCCUUCCAGUGGUUGUGGGGUAGGGGGAUGCAGGUGAGUGCAGAUCUCUUCAGCAGAGGUGACCAUCAUGGAGUCCCAGAAUCGCAAAAGAGCUCCAGCAUGGACUGAAUGGGAGGUACGGGAUCUGAUCGUUGUAUGGGGAGAUAAAUCCGUGCCAUCAGAACUCCAUUCCAAAAGACAAAAUGCCCAAACAUUUAAAAAAAUCUCCAAGGGCAUGAAGGACAAAGGCUAGAAGAGGAACCCGCAACAGUGCUGCGUGAAACUUAAGCAGCUGAGGCAAGCCUACCAAAAAAAGAGGCAAACGGCUGCUUGGGGUCAAAGCCCCAGACAUGCUGCCUCUAUGAUGAGGUGCAUGCCAUUCUAGGGAAUGCAGCCACCACUACCCCACCCCUGUGCUUUGACUCCGUCAAUGGACUAUCACGCAACAGGGAAGUGCAUUUUGGGGAUGAGGAAGAGGAGGAGGUUGAAGAUAGCGCACAGCAAGCAAGCAGAGAAACCGUUUUCCCUGAGAGCCAGGAACUGUUUCUCACCCUGGACCUGGAGCCAGUACCCCCUGAACCCACCCAAAGCGGGCUCCCGGAUCUGCCAGGUGGAGAAGGGACGUCUGGUGAGUGUACCUUUGUGAAUAUAAUACAUAGUUUAAAAGCAAGCGUGUUUAAUGAUUAAUUUGCCCUGAAGACUUGGGAUGCAUUCGUGGCCAGUACAGCUACUGGAAAAGUCUGUUAACAUAUCUGGGGAUGGAGCGGAAAUCCUCCAGGGACAUCUCCAUAAAUCUCUCCUGGAUGGUCACUCCUCAUGGUCACCUGGUUGAAAUAGG